This is a long non-coding RNA of Chinchilla lanigera (long-tailed chinchilla), 1573 nucleotides long. NCBI's taxonomy places the organism in Eukaryota, Metazoa, Chordata, Mammalia, Rodentia, Chinchillidae. The record is from Ensembl.
GUAGAGCUUUACAGGUCAAAUGGCAGUUAGGGGGAGGAGAUCACUGUUGAAGGUCAGUACGUACAUGCGUUUGCCCAGCAGGGAGAGCUUCUGUGAAGGAGAAGUGAGAGAUAAAGCUCACCAUGCAAAGAGUUAUGGGUAGUCUGUGAAUUUUCUACAAACUGGAAACAAGGGCAUUAAUAAGGAAAAAUUGUUAGAGACAAGUGUAGAGGCUGAGAUGUCUCUUUAGUACCACACAGCGAUGACUUGAAUGUAGUUUGACAACGAGUUCUAACAACAUACUCCAAGCACAGGGCUGCAAGGAUGACAACAACCAGACCUCAGUCUUGCCCUGUCCGGAUGCUCAUGGUUUAUGGACCAAAUGUGGCCCUGAUUUUCUCAUUUAUACUGCCCCAUUUCUUUUCUUCCCAGACAUCUGGGCUUCAGUGGAAAAUAGUUAAGCAACCUCAGCAACCCAGUGCCUGGCACAGAGCUGAUGUUUUCUCCGGACCACUGGUUUGCUUGAACUGUGCCUUUCUGCUGACAACCAGCCUGCACCUUGAUGACCUUCUCCUGCGUUUAGCCUUCCUCACCCUAGAGUUGUCUGCUCAUCUCCAAGGUCCAGGUACUCCAUGGAUCCAAGCACAGGCACCAGUUUAUCCCCAGCCUCCUCUGCCAGCUGGACUGAGCUCACUGUUGACGGAUUUCUCCCCAUGUAUCUUAUCCUUUGACUUUUGUGCUUGCCUGGAUGUGAAAGUUUAGGAAAAACUCCCUUCUCUCAUCUCCCAAAAGAAAAUGUAAAAAGGAUCGGUUCAGUUCUUAAGUGCUUAGGUUCCCUCUGAUAACCUACUAGCCAAAUAAGAUUUUACCUUUAGGGAAGGGAAGGGGGUUGGCAUUGUUUGUAAAAAGAAGAAACCAGAAGACCUAAACUUUUAGUCCUUGCCUUGUCACUUAUUACUGUGUGACUCUCAGGAGGUCUCUGUGACUCAGUUUCAACAUCAGAAAAAUGUAGUUAGGAAUAAUGCUUCUGCUUCUGUUACCUGGAUGUCAAAAAGAUAAUAUUUAUUUCAAAAUCCCUUUGUUAACUUUCACUGUUCAGAAGGGUCAUUGUUCCAAAUAUAGUCAUUGUUCAGAAGCGUCAACACUGUUGAAGCAAUUCUUUCAAUCAACUUGUAGCCACUGCCUUAAACCCAUGAGUGUUAGAAAAAGUGUGAAUAUGAGGGGAAAACUAGACUUUAGUGUUGAGGUAUGAUUUGUGCUGGCUCUAAAGGUUUUAUUGUUUAACAAGUUCUCACUAGAUACCUUCAUCCUUAGUUACUUUCUUGUCACUGAGAUACAAUACCUGAUGCCCGCAGUUCCAAGGAGGAAAGGUAUGUUUUGGCUCACGGUUGUUGAGGUUUCAGUCCAUAGUCGGCUGGCUCCAAGGCAGGGUGGCAUGGCGGAGGAGAAAGAGCUCCAGAUAUAAGCCGUUACACCUUCUAGAUGUCCCCUCAAAGACUCAUGCACUCAUAGGUGGGGCUCUUGGGAGCCUGACUCUUAGAUUUCUGUUUGUAACUGAAUGGAUCAGAUGCAUGCACUGGGAGAGGGAACUCAC